RNAcentral lists this small RNA (28 nucleotides) under Bombyx mori (domestic silkworm). RNAcentral's name for it is "ovarian small RNA-23078". Lineage: Eukaryota; Metazoa; Arthropoda; Insecta; Lepidoptera; Bombycidae. The record is from RNAcentral.
UAGUGGUUACGCACGAUUGCGUCGGCGG